GGUGCUAUAGUGUAGUGGUUAUCACUCGGGAUUUUGAUCUCGCAAUGUUCCCGAAACCCAGGUUCGAACCCUGGUAGCACCU
Molecule: transfer RNA, 82 nt
Filed under: Cubamyces sp. BRFM 1775
Lineage: Eukaryota; Fungi; Basidiomycota; Agaricomycetes; Polyporales; Polyporaceae
Description: Leiotrametes sp. BRFM 1775 tRNA-Gln
Rfam family: tRNA
About the family: Transfer RNA (tRNA) molecules are approximately 80 nucleotides in length.
Source: RNAcentral